This 465-nucleotide ribosomal RNA is filed under the name Vreelandella stevensii. RNAcentral's name for it is "partial 16S ribosomal RNA". It matches the Rfam family "Bacterial small subunit ribosomal RNA", at positions 338 to 795 of the family's 1533-position model. Lineage: Bacteria; Pseudomonadati; Pseudomonadota; Gammaproteobacteria; Oceanospirillales; Halomonadaceae. The record is from RNAcentral.
CCUACGGGCGGCUGCAGUGGGGAAUAUUGGACAAUGGGCGAAAGCCUGAUCCAGCCAUGCCGCGUGUGUGAAGAAGGCCUUCGGGUUGUAAAGCACUUUCAGUGGGGAAGAAAGCCUUGGGGCUAAUACCCUCGAGGAAGGACAUCACCCACAGAAGAAGCACCGGCCAACUCCGUGCCAGCAGCCGCGGUAAUACGGAGGGUGCGAGCGUUAAUCGGAAUUUCUGGGCGUAAAGCGCGCGUAGGCGGUCUGAUAAGCCGGUUGUGAAAGCCCCGGGCUCAACCUGGGAACGGCAUCCGGAACUGUCAGGCUAGAGUGCAGGAGAGGAAGGUAGAAUUCCCGGUGUAGCGGUGAAAUGCGUAGAGAUCGGGAGGAAUACCAGUGGCGAAGGCGGCCUUCUGGACUGACACUGACGCUGAGGUGCGAAAGCGUGGGUAGCAAACAGGAUUAGAUACCCCUGUAGUC